Molecule: ribosomal RNA, 497 nt
Filed under: uncultured bacterium
Lineage: Bacteria
Description: partial 16S ribosomal RNA
Rfam family: Bacterial small subunit ribosomal RNA
Source: RNAcentral
GAUGAACGCUGGCGGCGUGCCUAAUACAUGCAAGUCGAGCGAACGGACGAGAAGCUUGCUUCUCUGAUGUUAGCGGCGGACGGGUGAGUAACACGUGGAUAACCUACCUAUAAGACUGGGAUAACUUCGGGAAACCGUAGCUAAUACCGGAUAAUAUUUUGAACCGCAUGGUUCAAAAGUGAAAGACGGUCUUGCUGUCACUCAUAGAUGGAUCCGCGCUGCAUUAGCUAGUUGGUAAGGUAACGGCUUACCAAGGCAACGAUGCAUAGCCGACCUGAGAGGGUGAUCGGCCACACUGGAACUGAGACACGGUCCAGACUCCUACGGGAGGCAGCAGUAGGGAAUCUUCCGCAAUGGGCGAAAGCCUGACGGAGCAACGCCGCGUGAGUGAUGAAGGUCUUCGGAUCGUAAAACUCUGUUAUUAGGGAAGAACAUAUGUGUAAGUAACUGUGCACAUCUUGACGGUACCUAAUCAGAAAGCCACGGCUAACUACGUG